GAAGAUGGGUGCCCCCCUUGUGGUCGGUGGUACAGGUGGUGCAUGGCUGUCGUCAGCUCGUGUCGUGAGAUGGUGGGUUAAGUCCCGCAACGAGCGCAACCCCUGUCCUGUGUUGCCAGCAGGCCCUUGUGGUGCUGGGGACUCACAGGAGACCGCCGGGGUCAACUCGGAGGAAGGUGGGGACGACGUCAAGUCAUCAUGCCCCUUAUGUCUUGGGCUGCACACGCGCUACAAUGGCCGGUACAAUGAGCUGCGAUACCGUGAGGUGGAGCGAAUCUCAAAAAGCCGGUCUCAGUUCGGAUUGGGGUCUGCAACUCGACCCCAUGAAGUCGGAGUCGCUAGUAAUCGCAGAUCAGCAGUGCUGCGGUGAAUACGUUCCCGGGCCUUGUACACACCGCCCGUCACGUCACGAAAGUCGGUAACACCCGAAGCCGGUGGCCCAACCCCUUGUGGGAGGGAGUCGUCGAAGGUGGGACUGGCGAUUGGGACGAAGUCGUAACAAGGUAGCCGUAA
RNAcentral lists this ribosomal RNA (513 nucleotides) under uncultured Actinomycetes bacterium. Its description in RNAcentral is "bacterial SSU rRNA". It matches the Rfam family "Bacterial small subunit ribosomal RNA", at positions 1003 to 1505 of the family's 1533-position model. Lineage: Bacteria; Bacillati; Actinomycetota; Actinomycetes. The record is from RNAcentral.